UACAGAGGUCUCAAGCGUUGUUCGGAUUCAUUGGGCGUAAAGGGUGCGUAGGCGGCGCGGUAAGUCGGGUGUGAAAUCUUGGAGCUUAACUCCGAAACUGCAUUCGAUACUGCCGUGCUUGAGGACUGGAGAGGAGACUGGAAUUUACGGUGUAGCGGUGAAAUGCGUAGAUAUCGUAAGGAAGACCAGUGGCGAAGGCGGGUCUCUGGACAGCUCCUGACGCUGAGGCACGAAGGCCAGGGGAGCAAACGGG
RNAcentral lists this ribosomal RNA (253 nucleotides) under uncultured bacterium. RNAcentral's name for it is "partial 16S ribosomal RNA". It matches the Rfam family "Bacterial small subunit ribosomal RNA", at positions 524 to 776 of the family's 1533-position model. The record is from RNAcentral.